CUCAAGGCGCGGUGUGGCUGUCCCUGGGGACGCGGGGACAGCGCUGCGGGCUCUCUGCUGCCCAGCACAGGUGUGAGCCGUGCCCGCCCCCAGGUGCUGCUGCUGUGCUACAAGAGCUGCUGGGACGGCGCCUUCCAGGCCACCGAGGAGGUAAAGCCUCGGUGGGACAGAGCGAGGGGCUCGCCAGCCCCGGGGACACCGCCGAGCCCGGUGACACAGCCGGCUGGGGGACAGGGAGGGGCUCCCCAGCCAGGCUGGGUGCCAGGGGCCAUCUGGGCUCAGCUGCCCCUGGACCUGCGAGUCCCCACUGUCCGUGUUGGCUUCCAGCUCGGCACAGCCCUGCAGCUUAGACUGGAGGGGAGGGAGGAGGAGGAGGUGGACUCAGACUCUGCAUGGGAGCCUGGACAGACAGGGCAGCGGCGUGGCGAGGGCAGCGAGGCCGUGCUGGGGAGGCUGGAGGCUCUGGAGGCCGAUGUUCGCUUCCUCUGCACCGAGCUGGGGGCUGAGAAGCUUCUGUGGAGCAGCCGGUUCCUGGAGCUGCUGCGGGAGCAGCAGAGCCUGCGCCAAAGGCUGCAGGAGCUGCCAUGGCAGUGGAACAGUGGUGACAGCCCUGACCUGCUAGGGGAAGCAGAGGACCAAAGUGCCAGUGGGAGUGAGGGAGAGAGCCCAGAAGGAUGCCAGUGGAUGGAGGCACCUCGGCAGCCACGUGGCUCCAUCCAGCCUGACAGGCAGAAAAAGUAAGUGAAGGUGUGAGCAGGACCUCAGGAAAUCAGGAAGGAUCCACACAUUCCACCUGCCCAGGCCCUGCAGGACACAGGCCAGGCUGCUGCAGUCCCAGCUGUAUCCCUCCCUCCCUUGGUGCUGGCUGGGCCUGGCCCAAUCCAGCAGACCUGCAGCCAUUUCCCAGGAGCAGGAACCAGCUGGAGGCAGGUCAGGACAAGCCCCUGGCCCUGGGUUUGCCCCAGGACACGUCACAGCCCUCCCUGCCCAGGGCUGCCCCUGGACUGACUGUGCCCCACAGGGCUGGCUCUGGUGAAGCCCACUGAGCCCUCCUGCUCUGCUGCUUGUUGGGAGGUUCCAGGAACAAGGAGUCUGGUCAGCACUGGGGUGACAGAUUGCAAAACUCACCCGCUGACUUCCUGCUUGGCCACAUCCAUCCUCUCCAUGAGCUGCUCCUGCACAUGUCGCAACCCUGGGCCAGCUCCUUGAGACAGUGGGCAAGGGCACCCAGCUCCCCAGGCACGGCUGAGCCCCCCUGGCUGCCCACAACACCUGGGCACGGAGCAGCAGCCCCACAGGAGCUGGGCUGAGGGGCUGCCCCGUGCCCAGGCCUGCCCAGCUCAGGGCUGCAUGCACUGCUCAAUACAGG
This is a long non-coding RNA of Catharus ustulatus (Swainson's thrush), 1369 nucleotides long. The record is from Ensembl. Lineage: Eukaryota; Metazoa; Chordata; Aves; Passeriformes; Turdidae.